UACGGGGGGGGUAAGCGUUGUUCGGAAUUACUGGGCGUAAAGGGCUCGUAGGCGGCCAACUAAGUCGGACGUGAAAUCCCUCAGCUUAACUGGGGAACUGCGUCUGGUACUGGAUGGCUUGGAUUUGGGAGAGGGAUGCGGAAUUCCAGGUGUAGCGGUGAAAUGCGUAGAUAUCUGGAGGAACACCGGUGGCGAAGGCGGCAUCCUGGACCAACAUUGACGCUGAGGAGCGAAAGCCAGGGGAGCAAACGGG
This 253-nucleotide ribosomal RNA is filed under the name uncultured bacterium. Its description in RNAcentral is "partial 16S ribosomal RNA". It matches the Rfam family "Bacterial small subunit ribosomal RNA", at positions 524 to 776 of the family's 1533-position model. The record is from RNAcentral.